ACACUGUAAAAAAUUGCUGUAAAAAAACGGGGAAUUUUGGACAGUAAUUUACCGUUUCUCAUAAAUACAGUUGAAUACUGUAAAUAAACAUUAAUAUGACAAACAAAAUAAUAACAGCAAGCUCCUGUUCAGUCUUACGGGAUAAUACAGUAUUUUUUGGUUUGGUCAGGCAUGUCAGACAUGUGACGAGCUCAUCUGCAACCAUGAGUAAAACUGAUUUAACUACACUGUUUUUCUGCAUUUUAUUAUACGAGAAGGAAGCAGAAUUAAAGACUGUCUAUCCAUUUUCACUCCGAUUGUGACCCUACCAGCACUGAGACGGACGACGAAUUCACUUAUUUUUUACUCCUCGCCUGUAUAUCAAGUUGCUGGUGAUGAAGUCACAUUUGGAGGUUGGAUGAUCAGCAGUGAAAACAACAUCAUCUGUGAAGGCAAGAUGAAGCUGCGAGGACACUGGAGUUUGUUCAAAGAUGCUUAAUUGGUGUGAACCCUAAGAGGUGAACAAAAGCCAGGCAGGUGAAGGUGUCCGAGAAGACAGGAAAGCUUGUCCAGAAAAACGCAGCAACUGUUAAUCCCCAUGUGACCACCCUCAUCAAAAACUUCAUGGACUUUGAGUGGCUUUCACAUUGUAUUCUGCAGUGUUGUGAUAUUUAUGUGACAUCACAGCAUUAUGUUUUAUUCAGCCCAGUCUCAUUAGUGAGGCAGAAACUGACAUUUAAGAAUGCACUGAAUUUUGUUAUAUUUAAUAAAAACAGUGUUUUAUCAUCAUCCUUUGUUUGAGAAUUUUUUUGCAAGCAAUUUUAAGUGUUUAUUUUAAAAUUACAUUUUAACAAUGCUAGAAAAAUCACAUUCUACAGUAUAAAUAACAGCAGGAACCCUAAAAUAACAGUAUAAUGCAUCCAAACAUCUGACAGUAUUAUACUGUGCA
This is a long non-coding RNA of Paramisgurnus dabryanus, 928 nucleotides long. RefSeq lists it as uncharacterized. The record is from RefSeq and is a predicted model, not a curated record. Lineage: Eukaryota; Metazoa; Chordata; Actinopteri; Cypriniformes; Cobitidae.